AGCAGCCGCGGUAAUUCCAGCUCCAAUAGCGUAUAUUAAAGUUGUUGCAGUUAAAAAAGCUCGUAGUUGAAUUUCGGGGUUCUUCCGUUGGUCAGGCUAACCAGUCUGUACUAGCGUGUAGAACCCCUACCUUCUGGGGAACUAUCAUGUUAUUAAUUUAGCGUGGUGGGAAACCAGGACCUUUACCUUGAAAAAAUUAGAGUGUUCAAAGCAGGCUUACGUCUGAAUACAUUAGUAUGGAAUAAUAAAAUAGGACGGUGGUCCUGUUUUGUUGGUUUCUGAAUCACCGUAAUGAUUAAUAGGGAUAGUUGGG
Molecule: ribosomal RNA, 313 nt
Filed under: uncultured Gigasporaceae
Lineage: Eukaryota; Fungi; Glomeromycota; Glomeromycetes; Diversisporales; Gigasporaceae
Description: SSU rRNA
Rfam family: Eukaryotic small subunit ribosomal RNA
Source: RNAcentral